AGGCUUGUUCUCCUACCCCUUUUAUUUUUGUUAGUGUUUUUAGAUUUAUUUUUUUCAUCUACUCCCACGUAGAGCAUAUUUAAAGCUCUUUUAGGUGAAAAAAACUGAAUAAUGAAAAAAAACAUUUGGUGCCCAUGAUGUUCUACAGAAGGGAAUCCCGCAGUGUAUUUGUGGUUCAUUCUAAACACAGCAGCAUCUUUGGCAUAAGGGCAGUCCCUUUUACCCAACUGUGGGCCAAGCCAAUAAAUGGGGGAAAUGCAACAAUUAAUUUUGACCAGUCGGCUAAUCAGACCACCUCUGAACUUUGGAUUGCAAGAUGCAGUGGAUCAUCUGUGAAAAAGCAUUAUGUUCCUUUACAGAGAUAAUGUUUCAUAUCCGUGUUAACUUUUGGCAGCUCUUCAACUUCGUGUAAAGAUAAUUAAAUGAUGCUGUGUUCAUGUUCCUCUUUAAUGUAUACUCACUGUGUUAAGGAAGAUGAGAUUUGGUGUGAGACCUAUCUACCCAGCUUCCUCCACUUUCCCCGUCAUGCUUUUUGAGCAUUUCAAUAACUCUGUUGAUCCACAGUGAACAUUAUUGUAAAUCAUUUCAUUCAAAAAGCACUUUGAAAAUUGUUCCUAAGGGAUUAAAUGAAAUGGUUUAUGACAAUUUUGCCAAGGAAGAAAAAAAAAAAAAAAANAAAAAAAAAGACACAAAAGCAAAAGCAUAUAGCUUUUUAUAGUCAAUAUUCUCCAGUAUCUGGUGUACUUUACUUUUUUAGUUGUGGUAUUUCUGGAAAUACCAGCACCUGCUUCAGGUGACAUUCCCGUCAUGACAUUCCGGAAAAAGGCCUCAUUAAUUUGUAUUGUUCAGUGUCACAGAAGGAUCUGAAUACCACCUGUAUGUUAUCCAUGGACAAUGAAAGAAAAUUUGCUGGUGCAAAAGACAGAAGUGGCAAACGAUGGUAUACUUACCUCAGGUUUACUGGACAAGAUAAAAAUGGUUCCCAUUUUCACAAUACCUCACAACAUGACAGUUACUUAUUCCCUGCUGAAAGCCUCAGCAGAGCUAUCGGUGCAGGUGUCUGCUUAGGGCUUGUGCUUUGGUCAGCGGAACACAGUUGCACUGGCUGCGUUGGGGAAAAAAUUGCAGCAAGCAGGGGCCUUGGCUCCCUUACGGUUUUUCAUAGUGGAAAAAAUGCAUUGGUCCAAGGGCAUAUCCAGGAGCAGCUCUCAUGCCUCCAGACCCUAAUCCUGGACACGUGGAUGAUGUAUAUGGUGACUACACCUCCCCUCGAGGUGCCCACACAUGCACAGGUACUGUGUGGCUCCCACAAGCUAUUAGGUGGGCAGCAGGACAGCAGCCAGGAUGGCCGCUCUCAGAGUCUUGCUGUUCAGAAUGACCAGCUCUGCCUCACAGCCCAUGUGAACAACCUGGCCCAGCUGCCUACUGUGCCUCAGCGGUCAGGUGUCAGCUCUUUCCCUACCUUCUCUGAGUCCUGAGCCAUAGUGCUCAAAACUGCUGCUCUGUGUGCAGAAGUAUCCGUCUGGUAAAGUGCCAACAAUCACUGAUCCUUGUGAGACUUGAGGGCUCAAUUGCUCUUCCCCCAGGUGGCUUCAGGGCCACAGCAGCUAUACAAAGGAGCAUUACACCUCACAGCUUGCCCGAGCAGGUUUCAAGCAGCUGUGUUGCUGGAAAAUGGUAACUGGAUGGCUUUGUUCUGACAGUGGCUUUUCACACUGAAAGCACAUAAAAUUCAGCAACUGCAUCACGUUUAAAUGAAAUAUAGUUAAUUUUUGGAAGCAUUGUGAUUAGCAAGACUCCAGAGCCACAUGCAGCACACUCAUGAGGUAAUAUUCCCUGAGAGAUCAGAUAACUUUCUGGAGGCUUUUGCAUGCGCAAGUUUUUAUGCUAAUGAUAAUGGAGAAGCAUGAAGACUGUGGGCAAAACGUUGCCUGUGCUUGGUAUUAGUAUGGCUUCAUAUAGAAAGCAUGGGCAUAUGCGUGGGCUCUGCUCCUCUCAGUUGUGCCAGGUAGCAUGGCUGAGUAUAGAGAGGAGAAGUAGCUGUGAGAACUGCCUUGCUCUUGAGAAUUACAGGAAGUUUUCUGCCAUCUUUAAAUGGCCAUCAGGAUGUUGGCUGCUAGGCCCUCUGGAAACACAACCAAGUCAGUGGACUGAGGUGCUCGCUAUUUUGCCCUGACAGGUUUACUUGGGAGCAGGGGAUGAAGGGCUGGCCCUCUGUUCUGCAGUGUCCAUGUCCACCACGUGGCUCCCCAUUGAGGCUUCUCUCUGCUGUGUCACCCCAUGCAUGGGCUGUACAUUCACAGUUUCAUAGAUUUCACUAGAAAUACGUAAGUGUUGUGGCUCUCACACCUCACUGCAGCUGCAGGGGCAAGUAGUAGGCAAAAGAGCUGGUUUGGAAGUGGCAGCAUCAUUGUGUAACAGAGACUUGUCCACUGCAGAGCGGGCUUAUGCAACCUUUGUGAGUGCUGGGAGCAUCAUCCACUGCAGUGGCGUUCUUUAAAAGUAUAUGACAUUCUUGUAAAGAACAUGAAUAGUCUCACAGUAGCAUUCAUAACAAAAAUACUCCAUAGUGCCCCUUUUAGAAGAUGUUAAAAAAAUAUUAUUGCAAAUGAGAUGUAAGAUUUUUUCCCUGAAUUGCAGAUACCAUGAAAGUUUCCUGUGGGUUAAUUAAUAAAAAACAAACUACUGCUGAUGUGCCA
RNAcentral lists this long non-coding RNA (2699 nucleotides) under Coturnix japonica (Japanese quail). RNAcentral's name for it is "lncRNA (ENSCJPG00005016225.1)". Lineage: Eukaryota; Metazoa; Chordata; Aves; Galliformes; Phasianidae. The record is from RNAcentral.